UGGGGAAUAUUGGACAAUGGGCGCAAGCCUGAUCCAGCCAUGCCGCGUGGGUGAUGAAGGCCUUAGGGUUGUAAAGCCCUUUCGGCGGGGAAGAUAAUGACGGUACCCGCAGAAGAAGCCCCGGCUAACUUCGUGCCAGCAGCCGCGGUAAUACGAAGGGGGCUAGCGUUGCUCGGAAUUACUGGGCGUAAAGCGCACGUAGGCGGAUUCUUAAGUCGGGGGUGAAAUCCUGGAGCUCAACUCCAGAACUGCCUUCGAUACUGAGAGUCUUGAGUUCGGGAGAGGUGAGUGGAACUGCGAGUGUAGAGGUGAAAUUCGUAGAUAUUCGCAAGAACACCAGUGGCGAAGGCGGCUCACUGGCCCGGUACUGACGCUGAGGCGCGAAAGCUAGGGGAGCAAACGGGAUUAGAUACCCCGGUAGUCCUAGCUGUAAACGAUGAGUGCUGGGUGUAGGGGGUAUUAACCCCCCCUGUGCCGAAGCUAACGCAUUAAGCACUCCGCCUGGGGAGUACGGUCGCAAGGCUG
RNAcentral lists this ribosomal RNA (525 nucleotides) under uncultured bacterium. RNAcentral describes it as "bacterial SSU rRNA". It matches the Rfam family "Bacterial small subunit ribosomal RNA", at positions 355 to 896 of the family's 1533-position model. The record is from RNAcentral.